UACGGAGGGUGCGAGCGUUGUCCGGAAUCACUGGGCGUAAAGGGCGCGUAGGCGGCUCAUGAAGGCUGUGGUGAAAGUCCGGGGCUCAACCUCGGAUCGGCCGUGGCGACUCGUGGGCUGGAGCACUGUAGAGGCGGGUGGAAUUCCGGGUGUAGCGGUGGAAUGCGUAGAGAUCCGGAAGAACACCAGUGGCGAAGGCGGCCCGCUGGGCAGUGGCUGACGCUGAAGCGCGAAAGCGUGGGGAGCAAACAGG
Molecule: ribosomal RNA, 253 nt
Filed under: uncultured bacterium
Lineage: Bacteria
Description: partial 16S ribosomal RNA
Rfam family: Bacterial small subunit ribosomal RNA
Source: RNAcentral